UACGAAGGUGGCAAGCGUUGUUCGGAUUCACUGGGCGUACAGGGAGCGUAGGCGGUUAGGUAAGCCCUCCGGGAAAUCUCCGGGCCUAAACCGGAAAGUGCAGAGGGGACUGCUUGGCUAGAGGAUGGGAGAGGAGCGCGGAAUUCCCGGUGUAGCGGUGAAAUGCGUAGAGAUCGGGAGGAAGGCCGGUGGCGAAGGCGGCGCUCUGGAACAUUUCUUACGCUGAGGCUCGAAAGCGUGGGGAGCAAACAGG
RNAcentral lists this ribosomal RNA (253 nucleotides) under uncultured bacterium. Its description in RNAcentral is "partial 16S ribosomal RNA". It matches the Rfam family "Bacterial small subunit ribosomal RNA", at positions 524 to 776 of the family's 1533-position model. The record is from RNAcentral.